This 421-nucleotide ribosomal RNA is filed under the name uncultured bacterium. RNAcentral describes it as "partial 16S ribosomal RNA". It matches the Rfam family "Bacterial small subunit ribosomal RNA", at positions 360 to 773 of the family's 1533-position model. The record is from RNAcentral.
AAUAUUGGAAAAUGGGUGCAACACUGAUCUAGCCAUGCCGCGUGUUUGAAGAAGGUCUUCGGAUUGUAAAGCACUUUAAGUUGGGAGGAAGGGCUUUAGGUUAAUACCCUGAAGUUUUGACGUUACCAACAGAAUAAGCACCGGCUAACUCUGUGCAAGCAGCCGCGGUAAUACAGAGGGUGCAAGCGGUCAUCGGAAUUACUGGGCGUAAAACGAGCGUAGGUGGUUCAGUAAGAUGGGUGUGAAAUCCCCGGGCUUAACCUGGGAACUGCUUUCAUAACUGCUGAGCUAGAGUACGGUAGAGGGUAGUGGAAUUUCCUGUGUAGCGGUGAAAUGCGUAGAUAUAGGAAGGAACACCAGUGGCGAAGACGACUACCUGGACUGAUACUGACACUGAGGUGCGAAAGCGUGGGGAGCAAAC